UACGUAGGGUGCAAGCGUUGUCCGGAAUUAUUGGGCGUAAAGAGCUCGUAGGUGGUUUGUCGCGUUGUCCGUGAAAACUCACAACUCAAUUGUGGGCGUGCGGGCGAUACGGGCAGACUGGAGUACUGCAGGGGAGACUGGAAUUCCUGGUGUAGCGGUGGAAUGCGCAGAUAUCAGGAGGAACACCGGUGGCGAAGGCGGGUCUCUGGGCAGUAACUGACGCUGAGGAGCGAAAGCGUGGGGAGCGAACAGG
This 253-nucleotide ribosomal RNA is filed under the name uncultured bacterium. RNAcentral's name for it is "partial 16S ribosomal RNA". It matches the Rfam family "Bacterial small subunit ribosomal RNA", at positions 524 to 776 of the family's 1533-position model. The record is from RNAcentral.